CCUACGAGAGGCAGCAGUGAGGAAUCUUGGUCAAUGGACGAGAGUCUGAACCAGCCAAGUAGCGUGAAGGAUGACUGCCCUAUGGGUUGUAAACUUCUUUUAUCUGGGAAUAAAACGUUCCACGUGUGGGAUUUUGUAUGUACCAUAUGAAUAAGGAUCGGCUAACUCCGUGCCCGCAGCCGCGGUAAUCCGGAGGAUCCGAGCGUUAUCCGGAUUUCUUGGGUUUAAAGGGAGCGUAGGUGGAUUGUUAAGUCAGUUGUGAAAGUUUUCGGCUCAACCGUAAAAUUGCAGUUGAAACUGGCAGUCUUGAGUACAGUAGAGGUGGGCGGAAUGCGUGGUGGAGCGGUGAAAUGCUUAGAUAUCACGAAGAACUCCGAUUGCGAAGGCAGUUCACUGGACUGCAACUGACACUGAGGCUCGAAAGUGUGGGUAUCAAACAGGAUUAGAUACCCGAGUAGUC
This 460-nucleotide ribosomal RNA is filed under the name uncultured bacterium. RNAcentral's name for it is "partial 16S ribosomal RNA". It matches the Rfam family "Bacterial small subunit ribosomal RNA", at positions 338 to 795 of the family's 1533-position model. The record is from RNAcentral.